This is a long non-coding RNA of Oncorhynchus keta (chum salmon), 538 nucleotides long. RefSeq lists it as uncharacterized. The transcript has 3 exons. Lineage: Eukaryota; Metazoa; Chordata; Actinopteri; Salmoniformes; Salmonidae. The record is from RefSeq and is a predicted model, not a curated record.
GCUGUUCUCCCUACCAGCUAUAACACAGUCAGUUUAAGGUAGGGAACAAGGUGCUGUUCUCCCUACCAGCUAUAACACAGUCAGUUUAAGGUAGGGGACAAGGUGCUGUUCUGACCAGCUAUAACACAGUCAGUUUAAGGUAGGGAACAAGGUGCUGUUCUGACCAGCUAUAACACAGUCAGUUUAAGGUAGGGAACAAGGUGCUGUUCUGACCAGCUAUAACACAGUCAGUUUAAGGUAGGGGACAAGGUGCUGUUCUCCCUACCAGCUAUAACACAGUCAGUUUAAGGUAGGGAACAAGGUGCUGUUCUCCCUACCAGCUAUAACACAGUCAGUUUAAGGUAGGGGACAAGGUGCUGUUCUCCCUACCAGCUAUAACACAGUCAGUUUAAGGUAGGGAACAAGGUGCUGUUCUCCCUACCAGCUAUAACACAGUCGGUUUAAAGUAGGGGACAAGGUGCUGUUCUCCGUACCAGCUAUAACACAGUCAGUUUAAGGUAGCGAACAAGGUGCUGUUCUGACCAGCUAUAACACAGUC